GAUCCUGGCUCAGGAUGAACGCCGGCGGCGUGCUUAACACAUGCAAGUCGAACGGAACUACUUUGAUGAGAUUCUUCGGAAAGGAUUUGAUUUAGUUUAGUGGCGGACGGGUGAGUAACGCGUGGGUAACCUGCCUCAUACAGGGGGAUAACAGUUGGAAACGGCUGUUAAUACCGCAUAAGCGCACAGUACCGCAUGGUAUGGUGUGAAAAACUACCGGUGGUAUGAGAUGGACUCGCGUCUGAUUAGG
This 250-nucleotide ribosomal RNA is filed under the name uncultured bacterium. Its description in RNAcentral is "partial 16S ribosomal RNA". It matches the Rfam family "Bacterial small subunit ribosomal RNA", at positions 15 to 245 of the family's 1533-position model. The record is from RNAcentral.